GCACGUGUUACCGUGUCUGCCUGCAUGUAUGUGUGCUUGUUUGUGUUUAUCAAUGUGCGCGUGCGCGCUUUUGUGUCUGCGCUUUGAGAGUGCACAUAUUUGUGUGUGCGUGCGAGUGCGUUUUGUGUGCGUGCGUAUGUAUUGCGUAAGGUCGGUAGAGUUUUACUCGCAGUAAAACUUCAAAUUUGGCGCAGCGAGUGUUCGCGCCUGAAAGCCGAGUUUGGUUUCAAGCCACCCUGGACAGCUGCUGUAUUAGGCGCGGUUUCUCGGGAGGACCAGUGGGAAGGCGUCAGGCCAUGCAGAUGAUAGCAGCAGUUUCACAAUGCCCAGCCUUGGUGCCCUUCAUCAAGAACAAGCCACUUGCGUUCGCCUUCAGACAGAUGGUUGAUGUCUUGGAAGCAGUUGGGAAGACAACAUCGAUGCAAGAUUCCAGCAAUGCCAUGCGCUGCAUUUAUUGGUCAAGAUUCUCAGAGAAUGGAGUCCCUGCAUCUCAGGGUUAACCGUGAACAGUAAGUUU
RNAcentral lists this long non-coding RNA (517 nucleotides) under Dermacentor andersoni. RNAcentral describes it as "uncharacterized LOC126537838". The record is from RNAcentral. Lineage: Eukaryota; Metazoa; Arthropoda; Arachnida; Ixodida; Ixodidae.